Molecule: ribosomal RNA, 513 nt
Filed under: uncultured bacterium
Lineage: Bacteria
Description: partial 16S ribosomal RNA
Rfam family: Bacterial small subunit ribosomal RNA
Source: RNAcentral
GACGAAUGCUGGCGGCGUGCCUAAUACAUGCAAGUUGAGCGAUGAAGAUUGGUGCUUGCACCAAUUUGAAGAGCAGCGAACGGGUGAGUAACGCGUGGGGAAUCUGCCUUUGAGUGGGGGACAACAUUUGGAAACGAAUGCUAAUACCGCAUAACAACUUUAAACAUAAGUUUUAAGUUUGAAAGAUGCAAUUGCAUCACUCAAAGCUGAUCCCGGGUUGUAUUAGCUAGUUGGUGAGGUAAAGGCUCACCAAGGCGAUGAUACAUAGCCGACCUGGGAGGGUGAUCGGCCACAUUGGGACUGAGACACGGCCCAAACUCCUACGGGAGGCAGCAGUAGGGAAUCUUCGGCAAUGGACGAAAGUCUGACCGAGCAACGCCGCGUGAGUGAAGAAGGUUUUCGGAUCGUAAAACUCUGUUGGUAGAGAAGAACGUUGGUGAGGGUGGAAAGCUCAUCAAGUGACGGUAACUACCCAGAAAGGGACGGCUAACUACGUGCCAGCAGCCGCAGUAA